GCAUUGGUGGUUCCGUGGUAGAAUUCUCCCUUUCCAUGCAGGAGACUUGGGUUCAAUUCCCAGUCAAUGUG
This 71-nucleotide transfer RNA is filed under the name Loxodonta africana (African savanna elephant). It matches the Rfam family "tRNA". From Rfam's summary of the family: Transfer RNA (tRNA) molecules are approximately 80 nucleotides in length. Their secondary structure includes four short double-helical elements and three loops (D, anti-codon, and T loops). The record is from Rfam by way of RNAcentral. Lineage: Eukaryota; Metazoa; Chordata; Mammalia; Proboscidea; Elephantidae.